UCUUGGAUUAUAUAAAAUCCUUUCGAAUAUGGAUUCACUGAAUAAGCAUUAUUAAGCAUGUGAAAAGGGUCAGGGACAUUGAAAGUUCCAGAGAUGGUGAAUGGAGACAUAGGACAGUAGACCUGCUAUUCCCUUAGCAAAGGCUAAGCAGUUCAACGUUGAUUAUACUUCAAGAAUAAAUGGGGAGAGUCAAGGAGAAGGUGGAGGGUACCAACAUGGCAGCCAGCAAGGAGAUGACUGGGGAGUGAAGAAGGCCUAGAUGUGGGAGCUAUGUGGAGGAUAUAUUGGAGAUGGGAGAGACUAGCAGCAGGGAACCCAAAUAGGAGCCUGUUAGGGAAUCUCAAGAUGACAAGAUGGACGAUCUUAAAAGAAAAAAAGAAAAGCACUACAUAUAGAGUAACUAAAGCUGAAUCAACAAAGUUAGGGAUUCCUACAGAUGAUGAAAACCUUAUGAAAUAACAUCAGAGGACUUAAAUGUUUAAGAGAUUACACUCAGCAUCCACACCCUCCAAUCCUCUCCAUAAGCCAAGCACAAAUUACAUCUCACAAGCUAAUGCUUCAGGGACAAAUUAUGGGGUUUCUUAUUUGGUUCCUUUCUAGCAAUAAUGGACUAAAUCUCCUGUUUCCCUCCUCCCCACAAGAGAUGGAAGGCAUAGAUUCUGACUAUCCAAAGAAAGGAUAAAUUCAACAGGGCAGGAGAAAAAGCUUAUCUGUCCAAAUAAAAGACUGGAAACCUGGAUCAGCCAAUUCUUGCCCCCAGAAGUUUACUCUAGGCAGGGACACUGGUCACAUUCUUGUGUUCCCCAAAAAUGGAAGAGGAAGAUAUCAAUGAAAAAGGGAAAUCAACAUUAAGCACCUACUAUAUACCAAGAACUGUGCCAAGCACUAGAAAUACAAAAAGAGACAAAAGACCCCCACCCACAAGGAGUUCACGAUCUGAUAGGGUA
This is a non-coding RNA of Phascolarctos cinereus (koala), 947 nucleotides long. The record is from RefSeq and is a predicted model, not a curated record. Lineage: Eukaryota; Metazoa; Chordata; Mammalia; Diprotodontia; Phascolarctidae.